This 616-nucleotide unclassified non-coding RNA is filed under the name Melastomastrum theifolium. RNAcentral describes it as "partial external transcribed spacer; ETS". The record is from RNAcentral. Lineage: Eukaryota; Viridiplantae; Streptophyta; Magnoliopsida; Myrtales; Melastomataceae.
GACUACUGGCAGGAUCAACCAGGUAGCAUUCAUUUCCAGACCUCGACGCACCCCAUGGACGAACGCGGAGCGGGGAGGCUCCGUGAGCACCAAGGGGAGCACGAGGGUCAACCAGAGCGGAGGCGAAGCCUCGACACGUCGAGAUCGCAACGACCAGCGAGGGACCGCGCGACUACAAGAGAUAUCUCCGUACCCGAGAGCACGCGCAAGGCAUCGACGCACCGGCACGAGGGGGAACGACCGAGAGAAGGACGACCGCCCGGACGGAAAGCGCCGAAGCCCGCACGAUGUCACCCCACGCCCAGGAGGCGGAGGGGAGACAAGGCUACCAUGACAGGGACGACAACGAACCCACGUACCGCAAACCGGUAUCGAGCGCAGGAACCCUCCCAUCGCCCGCGACACGACCUCGGGGGGCCGGGGCGGGCGACCGAUUGAAACGGACAGACCACGGCAGUUCGAUGCAGGAAGCACGGAGCCUGCCGUGGGAACAUAUCCUGAUGGCCACUCAUGCGCCGUCCCAACGCUGCCCGACGGAGCAUCCGACGACCCGACGCCACCCCCAUAAGGAGGAGGGACCGGGACGAACGAGACGCAACACGGACAAGCCUGCUAG